AGGUGCAGUGAAUCCAACUUCAGUUACAUUCAGAUAGCGGGAGAACCCGCACACAACCCGCGCCCCUCCUUCCCUCUUCUCUCCCGCAGUGAUUUUACCUCCUGUUAGAAUACCUCUCCCAUUUACACCGAAGACAUUGUUUACGUGGACUUCAUUAACGUUAGGUGAUGAUCUUCAGAGUGAGAGCAGCAGGACGAGGUGUGUCGGUGACGCUACGACCCUUCAUCACAAGGUCAUGUGGGGCUGGAGUCAGGCCUAUCAGCACCACCUGGCCAGCCCACCACGUCACAUCACAGUAUCCAGGUUUUGAGCUGCCCUCUGGCGGUAACCUCACCAGUUACGUCUUAAGGAACUCCUCCAGAUGGGCCGACAAAACUGCUACAGUAGGUGAACCACUUACAGUGUCCUUUCAAGGUCAGUGUAAGGGUAUCCAGUUAAUUAUUUUUAAGGUUGAUUAUUUGUUUUGACUCUUGUAUUUUAGAGUGCAUGGUUGAUAUUGCUGAACACCUAGGAUACAUUUUCUCAAGUAGUAGUAGUAGUAGUAGUAGUAGU
This is a long non-coding RNA of Homarus americanus (American lobster), 552 nucleotides long. RefSeq lists it as uncharacterized. The record is from RefSeq and is a predicted model, not a curated record. The transcript has 3 exons. Lineage: Eukaryota; Metazoa; Arthropoda; Malacostraca; Decapoda; Nephropidae.